AGAGUUUGAUCCUGGCUCAGGACGAACGCUGGCGGCGUGCUUAACACAUGCAAGUCGAACGAGACGAUUUUAAGCUUGCUUAGAUGAGUCGAGUGGCAAACGGGUGAGUAACGCGUAGACAACCUGCCGCAAAGAUGGGGACAACAGUUCGAAAGGACUGCUAAUACCGAAUGUUGUAUCUUUCUCGCAUGGGAGAGAUAUUAAAGAUGGCCUCUACUUGUAAGCUAUCGCUUUGCGAUGGGUCUGCGUCUGAUUAGCUAGUUGGUGGGGUAACGGCCUACCAAGGCGACGAUCAGUAGCCGGUCUGAGAGGAUGAACGGCCACAUUGGAACUGAGACACGGUCCAGACUCCUACGGGAGGCAGCAGUGGGGAAUCUUCCGCAAUGGGCGAAAGCCUGACGGAGCAACGCCGCGUGAGUGAAGAAGGGUUUCGGCUCGUAAAGCUCUGUUGACGGGGACGAAUGUGCGAAAUGCGAAUAGUUUUUCGCAAUGACGGUACCCGUCGAGGAAGCCACGGCUAACUACGUGCCAGCAGCCGCGGUAAUACGUAUGUGGCGAGCGUUGUCCGGAAUUAUUGGGCGUAAAGGGAGCGCAGGCGGGAAGGCAAGUCAGUCUUAAAGUGCGGGGCUCAACCCCGUGAUGGGAUUGAAACUGUCUUUCUUGAGUGCAGGAGAGGAAAGCGGAAUUCCUAGUGUAGCGGUGAAAUGCGUAGAUAUUA
Molecule: ribosomal RNA, 718 nt
Filed under: uncultured bacterium
Lineage: Bacteria
Description: bacterial SSU rRNA
Rfam family: Bacterial small subunit ribosomal RNA
Source: RNAcentral